Molecule: long non-coding RNA, 1406 nt
Organism: Lagopus leucura (white-tailed ptarmigan)
Lineage: Eukaryota; Metazoa; Chordata; Aves; Galliformes; Phasianidae
Exons: 2
Source: RefSeq, a predicted model, not a curated record
AGAGCUGAGCCUUUGUGUCAUCAGAGUGCAUCUCUACACGCAGUUGCUAGUGCUGAUGGUGCUUGCAGUCAUAGCUCACCCACUGUUACUUUGUGGUAUCUUCAUUUUUUUUCUUAAAUUAAAUGGAAGCUUCAGUUUCACACGUUUCUUUCCAGAUUUCUUUAAAGCUCUUACGUUCACCCCUCCCUGCCACUACAGCUUUCCCUGGUAGAUUAUAGCCUGCUGGAGAACACAGAGCACAUUGUGAGGCCCAAGGCAGGAGCUGACUCAGCAGUCCUUCCCUUUAGGCCGCUGCUGUUCAUGGAACGGAAGGUUAGGUUUAAAAUGCUUCUGCCAAAAAAUGUUGCUGCUGUAACAGAACUGGUGCCCGUUUCAUUAGUAGUUGCUGCAUCCUUUAACUUAAGCUUCAUAAAAAAUUGCAGCCCUCUACAGCCUUAACUUAAACACUGGGAAAGAGGGUUUUCCUUUCGCAUGCUGGAAUAAUUCUGAUUUUUCCAUGAGAAGUGUUUGGGAUUUCCUCCCCAGAUCUCUGGAGAAAGGCCGUGUCCUUGGCAUGGCUUGUGCAGCUCAAUGGCCCCUGUCCUUAAAGGAUUAGACCCAUGUAAAUUGGAGUCCUGGGAGCUGCCAAAGGGAGAUGAAUGGGCCCGAAUGGCAGCGUGUGGCUGGUGGCAGGUUUGGGUCCAUGCGUGGUCUUUCUGGAUCAGGUCCUUCUGCCCUCCGUGGGGCUUCCCCAGAUCCCGCUGGGAUAUCUGCAAAGAGCCUCCCACCUUCUGCUCAGACCAUCCCAGCUCUGAGACACACGACCAGAUCUGCAGGCAUUGCACUCAGCUCCUGUAGGAGCACCGCCGUUGUUCUUCCGUGCUGCAGGGAUACGUCACUGCCUUGUUGUGCUUCAUCUGCUGAGAACAGGGGAUGGAAAUGGUGCUGGAGCUAGAAGUGAUGACCGAAGUGAUGUUCCAAGGAGAAAGUGGCUUUUGAGGAGGGCGGCGGCCAGGGAGCAGAGCUUCACACCGCUGGGAAUGGCGGCUGUCUGUCAUUCCAGAAAUACACUCAGUGCCAUUUUUCCACCAGGAGAAUUAGAAGUUAUGCAGGCUCGGCCUGGUUUCGUUAAUGGAUUUAAAACAGGUUUUGGCAGAAAGCAGCCAAGCACAUCAGGAACGGAGCAGAAAAUAUUCUUCAUGAGUCCAAGAGCCUGGAAACUGCCUCUCACACAUCUACAGCAAGUGACAAAUGCUGUUCUGGUUGUAAUCUGAAAUCUUUCUCUUUUCUCCCUCCCUGGCAUCCAUCUUGUGCAUGAGUGCUUAGGCUGUUUGUUAGCAAAUUUAAAGGCACAGUGCUAUUGUGGAGUCACCGUAGGACUCCUGCACAGGAGGAGGGACGUGUUGCAUUAAAAGGUACUUACUAAA